Molecule: ribosomal RNA, 234 nt
Filed under: uncultured bacterium
Lineage: Bacteria
Description: partial 16S ribosomal RNA
Rfam family: Bacterial small subunit ribosomal RNA
Source: RNAcentral
UACGUAGGGGGCAAGCGUUGUCCGGAUUUAUUGGGCGUAAAGAGCGUGUAGGCGGCCACACAGGUCAGCUGUGAAAACUCGAGGCUCAACCUCGAGACGUCGGUUGAAACCGUAUGGCUAGAGUCCGGAAGAGGAGAGUGGAAUUCCCGGUGUAGCGGUGAAAUGCGCAGAUAUCGGGAAGAACACCCGUGGCGAAGGCGGCUCUCUGGGACGGUACUGACGCUGGGACGCGAA